Molecule: ribosomal RNA, 497 nt
Filed under: uncultured bacterium
Lineage: Bacteria
Description: partial 16S ribosomal RNA
Rfam family: Bacterial small subunit ribosomal RNA
Source: RNAcentral
GAUGAACGCUGGCGGCGUGCCUAAUACAUGCAGGUCGAGCGAACAGACGAGGAGCUUGCUCCUCUGACGUUAGCGGCGGACGGGUGAGUAACACGUGGAUAACCUACCUAUAAGACUGGGAUAACUUCGGGAAACCGGAGCUAAUACCGGAUAAUAUAUUGAACCGCAUGGUUCAAUAGUGAAAGACGGUUUUGCUGUCACUUAUAGAUGGAUCCGCGCCGCAUUAGCUAGUUGGUAAGGUAACGGCUUACCAAGGCAACGAUGCGUAGUCGACCUGAGAGGGUGAUCGGCCACACUGGAACUGAGACACGGUCCAGACUCCUACGGGAGGCAGCAGUAGGGAAUCUUCCGCAAUGGGCGAAAGCCUGACGGAGCAACGCCGCGUGAGUGAUGAAGGUCUUCGGAUCGUAAAACUCUGUUAUUAGGGAAGAACAAAUGUGUAAGUAACUAUGCACGUCUUGACGGUACCUAAUCAGAAAGCCACGGCUAACUACGUG